RNAcentral lists this ribosomal RNA (520 nucleotides) under uncultured Glomus. Its description in RNAcentral is "SSU rRNA". It matches the Rfam family "Eukaryotic small subunit ribosomal RNA", at positions 569 to 1091 of the family's 1831-position model. The record is from RNAcentral. Lineage: Eukaryota; Fungi; Glomeromycota; Glomeromycetes; Glomerales; Glomeraceae.
AGCAGCCGCGGUAAUUCCAGCUCCAAUAGCGUAUAUUAAAGUUGUUGCAGUUAAAAAGCUCGUAGUUGAAUUUCGGGAUCAAUUCGUCGGUCGUGCUUUUUGUACGUACUGGUGUUAUUGGUUUCUCCCUUCUGACGAACCAUGAUGUCAUUAAUUUGGUGUUAUGGGGAGUUAGGACUGUUACUUUGAAAAAAUUAGAGUGUUUAAAGCAGGCAUUAGCUUGAAUACAUUAGCAUGGAAUAAUGAAAUAGGACGUUCGAUCCUAUUUUGUUGGUUUCUAGGAUCAACGUAAUGAUUAAUAGGGAUAGUUGGGGCAUUAGUAUUCAAUUGUCAGAGGUGAAAUUCUUGGAUUUAUUGAAGACUAACUACUGCGAAAGCAUUUGCCAAGGAUGUUUUCAUUAAUCAAGAACGAAAGUUAGGGGAUCGAAGACGAUCAGAUACCGUCGUAGUCUUAACCAUAAACUAUGCCGACUAGGGAUCGGAUGAUGUUAAUUUUUUAAUGACUCAUUCGGCGCCUUAC